CGACACCAUCGGCGGGGGAGCACGCUCCGGGAGCUGACGGUGCCCGGGGUCAUCCACGACCACUGUUCGGCGUUUCAUCCGCUGGGCGUCGG
This 92-nucleotide transfer RNA is filed under the name Mycobacterium tuberculosis. RNAcentral describes it as "tRNA-Val(gac)". Lineage: Bacteria; Bacillati; Actinomycetota; Actinomycetes; Mycobacteriales; Mycobacteriaceae. The record is from RNAcentral.